CCUACGGGUGGCAGCAGUGAGGAAUAUUGGUCAAUGGGCGUAAGCCUGAACCAGCCAAGUCGCGUGAGGGAUGAAGGUUCUAUGGAUCGUAAACUUCUUUUAUAAGGGAAUAAAGUGUGGUAUGUGUCCUGUUUUGUAUGUACCUUAUGAAUAAGGAUCGCCUAACUCCGUGCCAGCAGCCGCGGUAAUACGGAGGAUCCGAGCGUUAUCCGGAUUUAUUGGGUUUAAAGGGUGAGUAGGCGGGCUUUUAAGUCAGCGGUGAAAGUCUGUGGCUCAACCGUAGAAUUGCCGUUGAUACUGGGAGGCUUGAGUAUGUUAGAGGCAGGCGGAAUGCGUGGUGUAGCGGUGAAAUGCUGAGAUAUCACGCAGAACCCCGAUUGCGAAGGCAGCCUGCCAAGCCAUGACUGACGCUGAUGCACGAAAGCGUGGGGAUCAAACAGGAUUAGAUACCCGAGUAGUC
Molecule: ribosomal RNA, 460 nt
Filed under: uncultured bacterium
Lineage: Bacteria
Description: partial 16S ribosomal RNA
Rfam family: Bacterial small subunit ribosomal RNA
Source: RNAcentral